Molecule: ribosomal RNA, 450 nt
Filed under: uncultured bacterium
Lineage: Bacteria
Description: bacterial SSU rRNA
Rfam family: Bacterial small subunit ribosomal RNA
Source: RNAcentral
GUCUAGAGGCUUCGGCAAUGCCCGCAAGGGUGACCGAGCGACGCCGCGUGUGUGAUGAAGCCCUUCGGGGUGUAAAGCACUGUCAGUAGGGAAGAAGGUCCGGGAGGCGUCCCUCUCGGACUUGACGGUACCUGCAGAGGAAGCGCCGGCUAACUCCGUGCCAGCAGCCGCGGUAAUACGGAGGGCGCAAGCGUUGUUCGGAUUCAUUGGGCGUAAAGGGCGCGUAGGCGGGCGAGUAAGUCUGGUGUGAAAUCUUCACCGCUCAACGGGAAGAAGCCAUUGGAUACUGCUCGUCUUGAGGCCGGUAGAGGAAUGCGGAAUUCCUGGUGUAGCGGUGGAAUGCGUAGAUAUCAGGAAGAAUACCGAUUGCGAAGGCGGCAUUCUGGGCCGGCCCUGACGCUGAGGCGCGAAAGCCAGGGGAGCAAACGGGAUUAGAAACCCGAGUAGUCC